RNAcentral lists this long non-coding RNA (1162 nucleotides) under Macaca fascicularis (crab-eating macaque). Its description in RNAcentral is "lncRNA (ENSMFAG00000062822.1)". The record is from RNAcentral. Lineage: Eukaryota; Metazoa; Chordata; Mammalia; Primates; Cercopithecidae.
CUAAGCCUCAGCUUCCUUAUCUGCAAAAUGAGGGCGCUGGACCAGAUAAGUGGGUGCCUCAGAGGCUGCCGCUGCGACAAGGGGACCAAAUGGGGUUCUGAGUAACGCAGGCAGGUGCGAAGGAGAAAGAAAAAAGGCUCAGCAAACCACCUGUAGGCAACCAUUUACAGGGAGCUUUGGCCACCCAUGAUAUGGUCCCCUCCUUUUGGCCACAGAACCCUGCUUUUCCUUCGGGAGAGCUGGUCCCCUCCCCCAGCUCUCCACCCAUGCCCGUGAUGGAGCCAGCUCAGCCCCCACCUUCCGGAGUGGGCUUGUACCCAGUCAACACCUGCUCCCAGGCCUCCAGGACUGGUUCAGGGCUGAAUCUGAGCCAAUGUUAUCAGGCCCACAACUUUUGUUCAAACCUGUGGGGGAAGAGAAGUUCUCCCUUUCCGGGAGGAGGGACAGAUGGAAACCUGGAGCUGCCGCAUCCUUCUGAGAAUGAUGCCAACUCCGGGAAGGCAUGCCAAGAAGCCAUGAAGGAGAAACCAUGUCCGGAGACACCACGGGCUCACGAUGCACCUGAGGAUGAGACUGUCCGUUUCGUGAGCCUGUAAGAGUCCUGCUCUGUUCCAGUGGUUUUGUUUCCAUCUUUUGUAACCAGAGUCUCAACCUUCAGGUCCCCAGGCCUGGUCGUUUCCAAGGAUCCUUCUAGCUCUGAACCAGUGGGAUUUCAGGGUCAACAAAAUCACAGCACCUGUUUGCCUGCACUGCAGAUGUCUGUGAGUUCAGGGACACACACACACACACACACACACACGGACUUUCCACACAAGAUCCGACAACAUCUCUGACCAGAAAUAAUUAAGCCCUCAUGCUGGGCGCGAUAGCUCACGCCUGUAAUCCCAGCACUUUGGGAGGCCAAGGCAAGUGGAUCACCUGAAAUCAGGAGUUCGAGACCAGCAUGGCCAACAUGGUGAAACACCAUCUUUAUUAAAAAUACAAAAAUUAGCCAGGCGUGGUGGCGGGCGCCUGUAGUCCCAGCUACUCUGGAGGCUGAGGCAGGAGAAUCACUUGAAUCUGGGAGGCAGAGCUUGCAGUGAGCUGAGAUCGCACCACUGCACUCCAGCCUGGGAGACAGAGCAAGACUUCAUCUCAAAAAAAAAAAAAAAGAAAAGAAAAA